AGCGCGCGGGAGAGAUCAAGAGAGUGUCCAUCAAGUCUUUUCCUCGUCAUUUUUUUUUGGUAUCAUGAGUGUCCACGCCACUGAAGAGGCCAUCAGCCCACCCUCCAUCAGCGGCCACGCGGGGCGGCAGCACAGCACCUCUAUCAUGUGCGCAGAGGACCGCGUCGACAACAGCAGCGGCGCUGGCAGCUCUGCUGCAGCCUUUCGCAGCAGCAGUUGCGUGAGUGCCACCGCUAGCGCUGGAGGUGUUGCAGCCGGCGGGCCUCUCACGUCUUGGCGCCGAUCCUUCUCACCUUCCAGUGCCGCGAAUGCGUUGAGCGGUGGCUGUGCGCCCAUCACCACCGUCCACAGUAACAGUGGCGUCGGAAGUGGAGCGUCAACGCAGUCGCGUCUGCGGCCGUCGUCCCUGCAGCACUGCCGAGCGUCUAGUGUGAUGUGGGGUGGACUGGUGGGUGCGCGCGGUGGCACAGCGGCAGCCGGCAGCAACACCAACGCGUCCGCGGUCACCAAUGUAUAUACGCUGCAGCUGCCGGGCGACGACGGUGGCGUUGAGAUGGCCGCGGCAAAGCCGUUGCUGCUGGGUGCACUGCGCAUGCGCGAAACGUACAAGGGCGUGGACAAGGGUCACUGCGAGGUGGGCAUUGGCGGCACCGGCAGCGGCGCAUCCAACAGCCUCACCAGCGCCGCCACUUUGGCUGCCGACGCGAGCCGCGCCACGCAUUCAAUGCAGGGUGUCCCGCACCCGCCCCAACCCGCAUCCCAGUCGCAGCACCUACAGACGCAGCAGCAGCAGCAGCAGCAGCAGCAAGUCCCCUCACCACCGCUCAUGACAGGGCCCACCACCCUGCAGCAGGUGGACGGCGUUUUCCACUGGUCGGACGAGAAGACGCCAAUCGCCUCGUGGGCGCAGUUCCGCGCCGACGUGCUUGCACUGGCGGCGUGCGUGCAGGACCCCUCCUGCGUUGCGGCGAGCAAGUACCGCCUGGAAGUGCUGGAGGAGAAGUACCACCUUCACCGGCUCUACAACGCUGACGUCGAGGAGAACAGCGACCACUACCGCCGCGGUGGCGGCCUCUUCGCGAACGCCUGCCGCGUCGAUACCUGCGUCGGUGCCGCGACCGCAAUGAACGCUCAGGUGCUGGUUGAGUAUAUCCAGCGCACCGUUGACGAGCGCGGCGACGACAUUGUCGGCGUGUCUGACAGCACACCACUGGGAAGAGGGUUGGCCACGGCAGGUGCCAGCGGCGGCAGCAGCGGCGUUGUGGGAGCGUCGGGUGGGGAGCAGCUGACGCUGGCUCGCGUCUGCGAGCUGCUCGACUUCCCCGAACCUUACCUACUGACAGUGGAAGGGCUUGGCCUGCAGCCGUCGGUGAACCGCGCCUUGCCGUACUACGACGCGCUGGACCCCUCGAUGAACGGCGGUGGCCGCAACAGCGCCGCGCUGCUUCGCCUUUUUCUCUCCCUUGACCAACGCCCACAGUGGGGGGCGUACCUGGCGGGUGUGGUGCUGCCGUGCCUGAGGCGCAACGAGCUGCGCACGGGCGGUGUCCAAGCGACGGAAAUGACUCUCGAGAUCACGGGUGCGCUCGCCCAGGAAUGGGAGAACACGGCCGCGUGGGUGCGAACGCACGAGCUCGAUAGCUUCUGCAGCAACCAGUUCCAGCUUGCCUUUCCAGUCACGAAGUGGUGCAGCCGCGGCGGCAGCGUCGGGAGUGGGGCGUUCUCCUUCUUUGACAUGCACGUCGGCCGCGCAUACAGCGGUGAGGCGUGCGAUGACCGCUCGAUCACCGCCAACAACAUGCACGGCGUCGGCCGCGGCCCCUCUGACUCGGUGGCUAACGGGAACGCCGCCUCUGCUGCCGCCCUCCCACCCGGCGCGAGUUCUGACGAGGCAGUGAACUACGACAACUACCAGCAGCUGCUCGACCACAUAUUCCUCCCUCUCUUCAUGGCCACUCUGGCGCCGGAGGACCCGAAAUACGUCGACCUCGCAACGCUGCUGCAGCACACCGGUGCUAUCCUCCUUACUGGCAAUGAGAACGCAGACGUCAUGGGCAGCACCGCGGCCGGCGGUGGUGGGCACGGAUGUGCGAACGGCACUCGCGCGGAUGGUGGCGCUGCAGCCGGCAAAGCCGCGGCGCUGCAUGUGGACGCGAUGAGCACCGACUGGCGGCGUCGUCCGGCUGACACGCCGUACACGGAGCCCGUCUCUCUCACGUACCUCUGCUACUACAUCUGGGCAAACCUGUGCUCACUCAACGCGCUGCGCCGUCGUCGUGGGCAGAACGUGCUGCAACUGCGUGUCGUGGCAUCAAGUGCCACAAUGCCAAACACGUCCUCGGCACACGACGCGAGUCUGCUGCUGCUGUCGUACCUCAUCGCUGACGUCGUCGUCGACGCCGUUGCGCUGGACCGGCAGCCGGUACUGCAGUACCUCUACGGUCUUCACCAGAUCGGCGUGGCCAUGUGCCCCAUCGCCCGUAGCAGUCUCGGCACCACAAGCCUGGACGAGCACCCUGUGGCACGACUGCUGUGGCGCGGCUUGUGCGUCUCGCUCUGCACCCUCAACCCUCUAUACUACCACUCCUCACAGGAACCACUGUUGGAGGAGUACACAACGGCGGCGAAGAUGCACCGCCUCUCGCCGACCGACAUCAGCGAGAUGGCGCUGUACUCCGUGUGCAUGUCCUCGUUCGAAGACGAGGUGAAGGCGUCCUGGGUCGGCGCAGGCCUCCUGCGCGACGGCUGGCGGGCAAACGCGGUCGAGCUGACCAGCGUACCGACGGCGCGGUUGCAGCUGCGCUACGAGUCAUGGACGGCGGAGCGUAAGCUGCUGCUCCCGCCGUCCGGCUCCCCGGCAGGCUUCCCUACAGGGGCCGCAGGGUCCGUCGCCGAGAUCGGGUCGCCGUUGGACGACACGCAGAGCAUGGUCCGCCGCGACAUGGCCACAGCAGCGAGGCGCUUCACCACUACACCGUCGCCGCAUCGGAACGCAUCCAACGCCUUAGCCCCGGAUGGGCAAGCGGGCAUGGGCUUGACGGGCGGGGCAGCUGCUGCACUUCAGUCGCAGGCGCCGUACGCCGUGCUGGACCCCGCCGUCGACUUCCCGCGCGCCACCCUCAUUGGCCCCUUCGACCGCGACAUCCAAAAUGCCCACCUCGUCCAGGCGCUGCAUCGUGCCCUGGACCUUCGCCACCAGUACUGCUCGCUGCCGCUACCACCCGAGCCUUCCUCCAGCGCUGGCGCCGCCGCUAGCGACUCUGUGAGCAACAGUGACGUCAAGGCCGGCUGGCUGGCGGCGCUGACUCACGACCCGCACGCGGUGCUGCCGCACCCAACACAGUCGAUGAGCUGGGCCUUCAAGGGCACCGUGCCGUCGUCGUCGCCGCAUAAAAAGACGAGCGGAGGACAUGCCGCUGGCGCCACCGGCGCGUCCUCGAUGGUGCACGGCGCCAGCUCGUACCUGCAGUUUGACGAGGAUGAGUGGAAGUACAAGACGGUUGAGGGCAUCAUUGUGCCGCAUGAGGUGCACCAGAUUCCGCGUCUGCCGCAGGACAUGUACCACUACACGGAGUUCUGCAAUCACGUCGAGGAGAUACGUUGUCUUAUCGACAACAUCCGCGUCCGAGACUUUGCACUGCGACGGCUGCAGCUGCUAGAGCACCGCUUCAAACUACACGCGGCGGUGAAUCAUAGCCGCGAGCUCGGCAGCACAGCGGCGCGUGCGUCGCACAACCGCGACUUUUAUCAGUCGACCAAGGUGGACAACAACAUUCGCAUGGAGACGGGUAUGACAGCGCGCCAGCUUCUCGCCUUCAUCGUGGAUAAGGCGACGCACAACGGCGACGAUAUUGUGUCGCACCCCAAAGGCAAGGAGCCGCAGACGCUGCGCCAGCUGCUUGCGGACCUGCACAUCACGGCAGACACGCUGACGGUGGACGACUUGAACGUGCAGGCCGGUGCAACAUCGAGCAACGGCGGCGCGCCGCAGAAUCCGUUUGCGUCGGAGGGGCAGCAGCAGGACGAGCUGCUGACGCUGCUGUUGAAGACAGACAACCAGAUGAAUGGCCGCUACUUCGCGGAGCUGACGAAGCGCACCUUCGAGGAGCUGUCGCGCGAUCAGCACACCUUCUCGGAGAGCCGCCUAUCCGUCUACGGCGCCAGUGCCGAGGAAUGGGCGCUGCUGUCGCACUGGUUCGACACCCACGGCAUGUCCUCCUCGCACAACCAGUGGGUGGUGCAGGUGCCGCGCAUCUACAGCUCCCUCCGCAAGGCGGGCCGCGUCGCCAGCUUUGCCGAAUACCUCGAGCACGUCUUCGAGCCCCUGUGGCGCAUCUCGCUGCACCCGAACAGCGACCCUCGUCUUUUCCACUUCAUCAACCACAUUGCCGCCUUCGACUGCGUCGAAGAUGAGCGGCGGCCGGACGUGCCCCUGCACCUGGCGAUGCGCUCCCCGCACGAGUGGACAACGGAAGACGAGCCACCGUACAACUACUACCUCUACCACCUGUACGCCAAUCUGCGCUCGCUGAACCGCUUCCGGCAGCGGCGCCGCUUCUCUGUCUUCUCCUUCCGCCCCAGCUGCGGCGAGGCCGGCAGUGUCGACCACCUCAUUGGCGGUUUUCUGCUGGCGCAGGGCGUCAACUACGGCGUGCGCCUCGCCGACAGCGCGCCGCUGCAGUACCUCUUUUACCUGGCGCAGAUUGGUGUGACGCUGAGCCCGCUCAGCAACAACACGAAGCUGCAGUUGAACUACCUGCACAACCCCUUCCCGCAGUUCUUCAGGCGUGGGCUGCGCGUCUCGCUCGGCACGGAUAGCCCGCUGCUCUACCACCACACGCAGGAACCGCUGCUCGAGGAGUACUCUAUCGCCUCCAAGAUAUGGAAGCUGAGCCCGAACGACCUCUCCGAGGUGGCGCGCAACAGCGUGCUGCUGUCGAACUUCAGUUUAAAGUUCAAGGAGGAGAAGCUCGGUGCCAUGCACUUCCUUUCCAGUAGUGCCGGCAACGACGUUGCCAAGACGCACCUGUCCGACGUACGCGUCGCGUACCGUUUCGAAGCAUAUCACACGGAGGUGGGCUUCCUUGAGUACAUCUCCGGCCUGCAUUUUCACCGCGCGUUGCUGACGCUCGAAAUGGAGGCGCAGUGCAUGCAACUGUACGGCGUCAACGCGAACGACAGCAGCGGCAGUACCGGUGGUGGCGUUGUCGGCCUCAUCGACAAAACCCCGAAGGAGGCAGACCUUGUGAAGCUGGAGGCACAGCGCACGUGCAUGCAGCGGCAGCUGCGGGAGCUGACCAGUGCCGUCAGCGAGCUCCACAGGCAAAACCGGCUCCUCACAACGAAGCUCGCAGAGGAAAAGGAGCGUGAUCAGCUGGCGGCGCAGCUGCGCCGCCGGCGGGUCGAUGCCAAGUUACGUGAGCUGCAAAACCUCGUGACGCAGAAAGAAGUGCGCCCGCACACAAGGGCAGCAUCAGAGCACCAGCAGCCGCGGGAUACGCCGGACGACGAUAAAGGCGAUGUGGACGCCGACAAGAGCGGCGUUCCAUCCGUCCCUCAUCAGCUGACGCCGUGUGCGGCUUCGGUGGUGUCGCCGUCGCCGCUCUCCUCUAUGUCGCUGCGGGCAGGUUCGGCGGCUGCGAGCGUGCCACCAGCUGCAGUGGCGUCAGUCGCUACGCCUAGCGCGCUUCCACCACCGUCUCCGCCAACUCUUCACGCACCGGCCGACAGCGCCAGCAGUACGCUGCGCAAGCAGCAGCAGCAGGGCGACGCCGUGGCGCAGACACGUCGACUGCUGGCGCACACGGAGUCUCUAUGGCGCACCUCCUUCGUGCAGGCCGACGGGCUGCACGGGGCGGAUGGCGGCAGGGGCAAGCAACCGCUCCCGCAGCUGCCUCCGUUGGAAGCCACCAUCACCUCCUCUUCCUCGCAGCCGUCGGCGUCACCUUCGUCACUGCGCAAGCGAUGGUCACCAUCGCCACUCGUCGAUGAUUAACGGUAGAGAGAAACAGAGGCGGGGGCGAUGUGGGAGAAGUGGGAGAAGCGAAUAUGGAGAGGGGGAGGGCGGCGACGGCGGCUGCAGACGUCGGCGAGAUGGCAUGCCCAUGUCGCAUCAGCCGCAAGAGCUUUCUCUUCUUCCCCCCUCCCCGCCACAUCCUCUGUCUGCCUGCCAGUCUGAUCUCUCCUCACCCACCCACCCACACGCAACCUUGCGCUGCCAAUGUCAGCGCCGUGGGCCUCGCACACCUGCACGCCCACUCGUCUGGGGCGGCAGUCCAGGGACGGACGGCGCAGAGACGUCCCUGGCCGCGCCCGCGUGCGGAUGUACCUGUGCGUGCAGCCGUUCUGUGCACACGUGCGUGUGUCUUCUCCUCUUCAUGUUCUUCACCAUCAUGUACAGUAGCACUCGUGCGGCACGGCGGCGGCGGCGAUGGUGGUGGUCGCCGCCGCCGCCCUGUUCCUUUAUGUAUGGCAUGGUCCAUCAAUGACGGCUUGUGCGCACAGAGGCGUGUCGGUCUCUGUACAGAGAUCUGCAUGGCGUAUGCGCGUGUAUGCGCUGUCCUUCAGCACAGAAU
This 6575-nucleotide unclassified non-coding RNA is filed under the name Leishmania donovani. RNAcentral describes it as "gene:LdHU3.04.0340(CDS-product:adenosine_monophos phate_deaminase_putative)". Lineage: Eukaryota; Euglenozoa; Kinetoplastea; Trypanosomatida; Trypanosomatidae. The record is from RNAcentral.